AACCUGUUACAAGAAGACGAAAGACAUGAGAACAUUCCAUACAGCACCAGAAAAUUACUAGGCGAUUAUUACAUGAACAAGGGACUUAGGUGAAAUAUAACUGCAUGCACUUUUAAUAGGAGACAGGGAAGGGGAAAAACCUUAUCAAAAAGAUUAACAAGGGUAUGAGCUUACGUUACCUCAUAACAAGAGAUGGGGCUCGAGACAAUACCCUAUUACCAACAGCUACAUGUGUCCCAUCAGGUUUGUAAGUGAUGUUUAUAUUCUCUCCACUAAGUUCUGCCUGCUGUGUGCAUUUUCCACCUGUAUAACUCGAAGAAGACAUAUCUUAGCAAUUGAUAGUAAUAUUUGUGAAUGACACAAAGCUAAUCCAUUAGAAAAUUUACAGAUUUCUAAACCAAGCUCCAUGCAUAUUUCAGAAGCAAAACUAAACGAUUAAGAGAAUACUUCUCCAUAUGUAUUCAUCAUCAUCAAAAAUACACAGAAGUUCCCAUAGCUCAAAAGGUAAAGAAAUUACAUGACCGUGUGGUUCGAUAUUCCAAAUGCGAGUCGUUUGAUCAACAGAACCCGAAGCAAGAUUUGUUCCAUUAGAAUUCCAAGCUACAGAAUGUACCUUCAAUCCCAAAAAUUCCCCCAAAUUCAGCAAAAAAACUAGGAUUUCGCAAGUUUUAUUGACUACAGAAAAUUAGACUGGAGAUAGAAAAAAUAAAACCCUAAUUUUGGAGAUUCAACCACAAAAUACAAAAUUAAAUCACGAUUUACACUCAAUAAUUGCUUGAUUAAUACCUAAUUUGGAGCUUCCAUCACAGAUUUCACUCCAAAUCACUUUCGGUUCCGAUUGAGUUUGGUCUUCCUCCG
This 858-nucleotide long non-coding RNA is filed under the name Arabidopsis lyrata. Its description in RNAcentral is "long non-coding RNA (ALYR_LNC002110)". Lineage: Eukaryota; Viridiplantae; Streptophyta; Magnoliopsida; Brassicales; Brassicaceae. The record is from RNAcentral.